AGUGAGAGAGAGAACCCCGAAAGUGAGAGAGAGAACCCCAAAAGUGAGAGAGAGAACCCCAAAAGUCAGGUACGGCAACCCAAAGGGAGGGGGAGAGCCCCAGAGUGAGAGAGAGAACCCCAAAAUGAAGGAGAGAGCCCCAGGGUCAGGGACGGCACCCCAAAGGGAGGGGGGGAACCCCAAAAUGAGGGAUGGCACCCCAAAGUGAAGGAGAGAGCCCCAGGGUCAGGUACGGCACCCCAAAGGGAGGGGGGAACCCCAAAGGGAGGGGGAGAGCCCCAGGGUCAGGGACAGCACCCCAAAAGUGAGAGAGAGAACCCCAAAGGGAGAGAGAGAACCCCAGG
This is a long non-coding RNA of Oenanthe melanoleuca, 344 nucleotides long. RefSeq lists it as uncharacterized. The record is from RefSeq and is a predicted model, not a curated record. Lineage: Eukaryota; Metazoa; Chordata; Aves; Passeriformes; Muscicapidae. The transcript is spliced from 3 exons.